GUAGCUCGCUAGGCGAUCGCUUGGUCAGCCGAUCAAGAGGAAAGUCCGGGCAGUGAAGGACACCGACAGUCGCUAACGGCGACCGGGGGUAACCCUAGGGAAAGUGCCACAGAAACGAAACUACCCAUGCGUUACGGCGCGCGGGAAAAGGUGAAACGAGUAAGGUAAGAGCUUACAGCUGGUCAUGGUGACAUGGCGAGGAGGUAAACCCUGUUGACUGCAAGGAGAUCUGCAUUAGAGUGGUCCGCUCGCAGGUCGAUAACCGCUUGAUUCGCUUGGCAACAGGCGAACUAGAUAGAUGAUCGCCCACGACAGAACCCGGCUUAUCGGCAAGCUACCAUG
Molecule: RNase P RNA, 342 nt
Filed under: Candidatus Saccharimonadota bacterium
Lineage: Bacteria; Candidatus Saccharimonadota
Description: RNase P RNA component class A
Rfam family: Bacterial RNase P class A
About the family: Ribonuclease P (RNase P) is a ubiquitous endoribonuclease, found in archaea, bacteria and eukarya as well as chloroplasts and mitochondria.
Source: RNAcentral